Sapajus apella (tufted capuchin) is the source of this 2178-nucleotide RNA transcript. It is a transcript of the gene named alpha-1,3-mannosyl-glycoprotein 4-beta-N-acetylglucosaminyltransferase B pseudogene, with no coding region annotated. The transcript has 2 exons. The record is from RefSeq and is a predicted model, not a curated record. NCBI's taxonomy places the organism in Eukaryota, Metazoa, Chordata, Mammalia, Primates, Cebidae.
AUGUUCAUUGAAGAAAAGUGUCCUGAAUUUAUGUUUCAAGAUAUUCCAGAGUUUAGGCCGCGCACCAGAGGAGAUGGGCCCUGCAGUGGCACCUUCCUGACGCUGCUGCUCUUCGGCCUGCGCGCCUUCCUCUCGCUGGUCCUGGCACGCGGCGCUCAGCGGCCGGAAAGGCGACGUCGUGGACGUUUACCAGCGGGAGCUCCUGGCGCUGCAGGAUCGGUUGCACGCAGCUGAGCAGGAGAGCCUCAAGCGCUCCAAGGAGCUCAACCUGGUGCUGGAUGAGAUCAAGAGCGCCGUUUCGGAGAGGCAGGUGCUUCAAGAGGCAGAGGGCAAUCGCACCUGGGGCUGCCCAACAGAGGACCCCCAUUGAAGCCGUGGAACGGCUCACACCAGUAGGUGCUACACCUGCCCACUGUCUUCCAGCACCUACCACACCUGCUGGCCAAGGAGAGCCGUCUGCAGCCCGCGGUGCGCGUGGGCCACGGCCGCACCGGAGUGUCGGUAGUGAUGGGCAUCCCGAGCCUGCGGCGCGAGGUGCAGUCGUACCUGACUGACACUCUGCACUGGCUCAUCUCUGAGCUGAGCCCACAAGAGAAGGAGGACUCAGUCAUUGUGGUGCUGAUUGCUGAGACUGACCCACAGUACACUUCGGCAGUGACAGAAAACAUCAAAGCCUUGCUCCCCACCAAGAUCCAUUCUGGGCUCCUGGGGGUCAUCUCAUCCUGUUCCCACUUCUACCCUGACUUCUCCCGCCUCCAAGAGUCCUUUGCGGACCCCAAGGAGAGAGUCAGGUGGAGGACCAAACAGAACCUCCAUUACUGCUUCCUCGUGAUGUGCGUGCAGCCCAAAGGCAUCUACUACGUGCAGCUGGAGGACGACAUUGUGGUCAAGCCCAAUUACCUGAGCACCGUGAAGAACUUCGCACUGCAGCAGCCUUCGGAGGACUGGAUGAUCCUGGAGUUCUCCCAGCUGGGCUUCAUUGGGAAGAUGUUCAAGUCGUUAGACCUGAGCUUGAGUGUAGAGUUCAUCCUCGUGUUCUACCGAGACAAGCCCACCGACUGGCUCCUGGGCCAUAUUCUGUGGGUGAAAGUCUGCAACCCCGAGAAGGAUGCACUGUGACCGGCAGAAAGCCAACCUGCGGAUCCGCUUCAAGCCGUCCCUCUUCCAGCACGUGGGUACUCACUCCUCACUGGCUGGCAAGAUCCAGAAACUGAAGGACAAGGACUUUGGAAAGCAGGCACUGUGGAAGGAGCAUGUGAACCCACCAGCAGAGGUGAGCACAAGCCUGAAGACAUACCAGCACUUCACCCUGGAGAAAGCCUACCUGCGCGAGAACUUCCUCUGGGCCCUCACCUCCCCGCCGCGGGGGACUUCAUCCGCUUCCGCUUCUUCCAGCCUUUGCAACUGGAGUGGUUUUUCUUCCACAGUGGAAACACUGAGCACCUAGAGGACAAGCUCUUCAACACGCCUGUGGAGGUGCUGCCCUUUGAUAACCCUCAGUCGGACAAGGAGGCCCUGCAGGAGGGCGUCACCGCCACCCUCCAGUACCCUGGGAACCCCGACCGCUACCUCCAGAUCCGCUCCUUCUACAAGGGAGGGGCAGAGGGAGAGGUGGACCCAGGCUUCGACCCUCUGGAAGCUCUGCGCCUCUCCAUUGUCAUGGUGACGGGCUUCCUGGGGGCCAUCAAGGAAAGCAAGUGCCUCCUCCUCAGCUUUUUCAUCUUCCUGUUGGUCAUCCUCCUAGCACAGCUGAUCUUACUCAUCCUCUUCUUUGUCUACAUGGACCAGGUGAAUGAGAACGCCAAGGAGGACAUGAAGGAAGGCCUGCUGCUGUACCACAACGAGGAUAACUUGGGGAUGAAGAAUGCCUGGAAUAUCAUCCAGGCUGAGAUGCGAUGCUGUGGUGUCACGGACUACACUGACUGGUACCCAGUGCUGGGGGAGAACACGGUCCCCGACUGCUGCUGCAUGGAGAACCCCCAGGGCUGUGGGCGCCACGCCACCACUCCUGUGUGGGGAACGGGCUGCUAUGAGAAGGUGAAGAUGUGGUUCCAUGACAAUAAGCACGUGCUGGGCACAGUGGGGAUGUGCAUCCUCAUCAUGUACAUCCUGGGCAUGGCCUUCUCCAUGACCCUCUUCCAGCACAUCCACCAGACUGGUAAGAAGUACGACGCAUGA